Molecule: transfer RNA, 73 nt
Filed under: Spirochaetia bacterium
Lineage: Bacteria; Pseudomonadati; Spirochaetota; Spirochaetia
Also listed under: 1 other name
Description: tRNA-Val
Rfam family: tRNA
About the family: Transfer RNA (tRNA) molecules are approximately 80 nucleotides in length. Their secondary structure includes four short double-helical elements and three loops (D, anti-codon, and T loops).
Source: RNAcentral
GGGGGAUUAGCUCAGCUGGGAGAGCGCCUGCCCUACAAGCAGGAUGUCGGCGGUUCGAUCCCGUCAUCCCCCA